AUUGAACGCUGGCGGCAGGCCUAACACAUGCAAGUCGAACGCGUGGCGGACGGGUGAGUAAUGUCUGGGAAACUGCCUGAUGGAGGUGGAUAACUACUGGAAACGGUAGCUAAUACCGCAUACCAUCGGAUGUGCCCAGAUGGGUUUAGCUAGUAGGUGGGGUAAAGGCUCACCUAGGCGACGAUCCCUAGCUGGUCUGAGAGGAUGCCCAGCAAGACUGGAACUGAGACACGGUCCAGACUCCUCAGGGAGGGAGCAGUGGGGAAUAUUGCACAAUGGGCGCAAGCCUGAUGCAGCCAUGCCGCGUGUAUGAAGAUGGCCUUCGGGUUGUAAAGUACUUUCAGCGGGGAGGCGUUACCCGAAGAAGAAGCACCGGCUAACACCGUGCCAGCAGACGCGAUAAUAC
Molecule: ribosomal RNA, 406 nt
Filed under: uncultured bacterium
Lineage: Bacteria
Description: partial 16S ribosomal RNA
Rfam family: Bacterial small subunit ribosomal RNA
Source: RNAcentral